GAUGAACGCUGGCGGCAUGCCUAAUACAUGCAAGUCGAGCGGACAGACGAGGAGCUUGCUCCUCUGACGUUAGCGGCGCGCGGGUGAGUAACACGUGGAUAACCUACAUAUCAGACUGGGAUAACUACGAGAACCCGGAGCUAAUAGCGGAUAAUAUAAUGAACCGCAUGGUUCAAUAGUGAAAGACGGUUUUGCUGUCACGUCUAGAUGUAUCCACGCCGCAUUAGCUAGUUGGUACGGUAACGGCUUACCAAGGCAACGAUGCGUAGCCGACCUGAGAGAGUGAUCGGCGCCACUGGAACUGAGACACGGUCCAGACUCCUACGGGAGGCAGCAGUAGGGAAUCUUCCGCAAUGGGCGAAAGCUUGACGCAGCAACGCCGCGUGAGUGAUGAAGGUCUUCGGAUCGUAAAACUCUGUUAUUAGGGAAGAACAAAUGUGUAAGCAACUAUGCACGUAUUGACGGUACCUAAGCAGAAAGCAACGGCUAACUACGUG
This 497-nucleotide ribosomal RNA is filed under the name uncultured bacterium. Its description in RNAcentral is "partial 16S ribosomal RNA". It matches the Rfam family "Bacterial small subunit ribosomal RNA", at positions 28 to 507 of the family's 1533-position model. The record is from RNAcentral.